This is a non-coding RNA of Phrynosoma platyrhinos (Desert horned lizard), 73 nucleotides long. NCBI's taxonomy places the organism in Eukaryota, Metazoa, Chordata, Lepidosauria, Squamata, Phrynosomatidae. The record is from the annotation of a GenBank genome assembly.
GCCAGUGUGGUGUAGUGGUUUGAGCAUUGAACUAGAACACUGGAAAACCAGGGUUCAAAUCCCAGCUUGGCCA